AGUGAACGCUGGCGGUAGGCCUAACACAUGCAAGUCGAACGGCAGCACAGUAAGAGCUUGCUCUUACGGGUGGCGAGUGGCGGACGGGUGAGGAAUACAUCGGAAUCUACUUUUUCGUGGGGGAUAACGUAGGGAAACUUACGCUAAUACCGCAUACGACCUACGGGUGAAAGCAGGGGAUCUUCGGACCUUGCGCGAUUGAAUGAGCCGAUGUCGGAUUAGCUAGUUGGGGGGGUAAAGGCCCACCAAGGCGACGAUGCGUAGCUGGUCUGAGAGGAUGGACCGCCCCACUGGGACUGAGACACGGUCCCGACCCCCACGGGGGGGAGCAGUGGGGAAUAUUGGGCAAUGGGGGAAAGCCCGAACCAGCCCAGACGGGGGAGGGAAGAAGGCCCUUGGGGUGUAAAACCCUUUUUUUUGGGAAAAAAAAACGUGGGGUUAAACCCCCGCUUUUUGACGGGACCCAAAAAAAAAGGCACCGCUAAAUUCGUG
Molecule: ribosomal RNA, 492 nt
Filed under: uncultured bacterium
Lineage: Bacteria
Description: partial 16S ribosomal RNA
Rfam family: Bacterial small subunit ribosomal RNA
Source: RNAcentral